Molecule: non-coding RNA, 30 nt
Filed under: Mus musculus (house mouse)
Lineage: Eukaryota; Metazoa; Chordata; Mammalia; Rodentia; Muridae
Source: RNAcentral
UGAUAAUCAAGUAGACAGCUUAUUUAGGAA